Molecule: long non-coding RNA, 581 nt
Organism: Hyla sarda
Lineage: Eukaryota; Metazoa; Chordata; Amphibia; Anura; Hylidae
Exons: 4
Source: RefSeq, a predicted model, not a curated record
UUGAGCUCUCUCUCUCCUGAGCUCCUGCUCUUAGUACUGAGGUACAGUUUGGAGAGGAGUGAAGUCUGUCUGUGAGGUGAAUCUGAAAGGAGGCCUAAUCCGGCAACCACGCAUCUACUACAAGUCAGCCCCACUACCGAGGUGAAAGUCAAAGCAUUGCAGUUCACAGAAGAAUCCUUAUCCCUGAGCUGGUAGAUAUCUCUGCCCGUCACCAGAUAUGAAGACGUCUGUGGUUUUCUUGGUUGUCCUCGCUGCCGGCCUCUUCCUGCUGUCAGAAUCUGCUCAAGUUUAUAGAUGUGAUUUACUACGGAAUAAUGGAAAAGGAAAUAAAUCUCUUAGAUACUAUUACUAUGAUAAAGCAACAAACUCCUGUAAGACAUUCACAUACCGCGGCUCCGGGGGAAAUGGCAACAGAUUCAAAACCAUUGCGACAUGUCAGGAGACCUGCGUGACAGAAUAAGGUUCUGGGAUUUCCACAUGACAAAUCUUCUUGUCGCAAAAGACAUGAUAUAGAAAACGCCUAUUGAAGGAUUUUAUGUGUUAUGUGGAACAUAUAUAAUAAAUACCUUAAUGCAAAUGUG